UCGCUUCGGCAGCGCAUGUGCUAAAAUGGGAAUGAUACAGUGAAGAUUAGCAUGGCCCUUGUGCAAGCAUGGAAUGCAAAAUCUAAAUGCGGAGAGCCAGGUUUGU
Ochotona curzoniae (black-lipped pika) is the source of this 106-nucleotide small nuclear RNA. The record is from RefSeq and is a predicted model, not a curated record. Lineage: Eukaryota; Metazoa; Chordata; Mammalia; Lagomorpha; Ochotonidae.